CGAGCGCAGAGUUCGUGGGCCAGCACUGCUGGGGGACCCGGCGCACCCUCCGCAGCUGCUGGCCUAGGUGCUAAGCCCCUAACUGCCUGCGGCCCGGCCGCGCCGGCCGGCCCCUCCCAGUACGGGGGCGCCAAGCCUACGCCCACCCGGAACGGUAGCUGGCCCGCAAGCGCCGCGCGCAGCCCGGGUUCCCGCCCGUGCCUCUCCCUCCACACCUCCUCGCAAGCCGAGGGAGCCUAGAGAAGGGCUCCCAUGGUGCAGCGGCGGGCUGAAGGGCUCCUCAAGCGCAGCCAGAAUGGGCGCCGAGGCCGAGGAGGCACCGAGAGCGAGCAAGGACUGCGAGGGCUGCCAUCAUGCUGUCACCUCUCACCAGAUGCCUCCAGAUCACUACAUGGACAUUGAGAUAUUCAAUAUAUGAAGGAAGAAUUUUUACAGCAUUCAGGUAGAAACUGAGAUUUUGCUGGACUAGUCAUGUUGAUCUCGGGACAAAUACAGGAA
RNAcentral lists this long non-coding RNA (498 nucleotides) under Homo sapiens (human). RNAcentral describes it as "HSALNT0204506". Lineage: Eukaryota; Metazoa; Chordata; Mammalia; Primates; Hominidae. The record is from RNAcentral.